Felis catus (domestic cat) is the source of this 3043-nucleotide long non-coding RNA. RefSeq lists it as uncharacterized. The record is from RefSeq and is a predicted model, not a curated record. NCBI's taxonomy places the organism in Eukaryota, Metazoa, Chordata, Mammalia, Carnivora, Felidae. The transcript has 8 exons.
UUAAACAAAGUAAAUAAACAUAACUUAUUUUUGACCAAGCCUAAAAUAGGAGACCUUAGAUAAGAACUGCAGCUUAAGCAAAGCCUGGGUCUUUUUUGCCUACUUUGCACACAGUAGGUGAAUUCAUUGCCGUGAGCAAUCUGCAAGUGUGACUGGAUGAUGCCAGGAAGAUAAUAGAGAAGAGGGAUGUGUGCAGAAAUAGCAAAUAGGCAGUGGCAGGUCAUGCAGAAAAUGAUGGUAAGGGAAUACAAAGAACUAGUAGUUAAGGUCAGAGAUAUGGGCAAAAAAGAGUCUUUCAAACAUGGAAUGUUGGCUAUAAUUCAGAGCUACAAAUCUAACUAGGAAAGACCAACUAGUGAGUUCAUUAAAUGAUUCUGUUUCCCCUAGGACAUGGUUACUGCUUGCUAGGUUACCACAUUGAUCAACGUCUCUCCUCUUGGCAUGUAUCUGGCAGGUUCCACAGUAUUUUUGAAGUUAACCUUGGAAAUAGAGACCUAAUUUUAAAGUUAAAAACUGAUUAUGUUAAUUUAAUAUUCAUUAAAGCUCCCAUACAUAAUUUAUUAAACAUUUUAAUGAAAAAACAUGUCACAUUGUUUUAUAAGACUAGCUAACAUUUUAUAAAUGUGGCGCUUUAUUAUACAUUAACUCAUAGAAUCCUCAUAUAACCCUAUGAGGCAUUUAUUUCCUCCAUUUUCCUUGUAGGUUAAGUUACUUGCCCAACAUCUCUUAGCCACCAAAUGGUGGAGCCCAAAUUCAAACUUAGGGUGGCUUUACUCCAAAGUCAUAUUAUUAACCACAGAAGUAAUUGAAUAUACACAUAUUGAUAUAUAUUAAUUAUUAAAUAAGGCUCUCAUCUAAAAGCAAGAUUGUUUUGCUAAAUGCAACUAAUUUUUUGGGAUGGGGGAGACAUUGUGGAAGAGAUAGUAUAUAAAUAUUAUAUGUUAAAUCAUAUAAAUUUUUCCAAAACACUUACAAAGGUUAAAUUACGUAUAUAUAUAUAAUGCAUAUAUAAAAAUUCAACUAAUUGUUAAUAUGAAUAAAAAUGCUAUUUCCAUGAAAUUUGCUUAGUAGUCCUUAGCUAUAUCAGUCUUACACACUGUAUGUACAUGUUAGGGUUGCAAGAGAUAUAUAUUUAUUCAUAAAUGUAGGGGGAAUAGACCAGAGUAGUCAAGGAAUAUAGAAGACUCAAAGUUUAUUGCUUUAUUUACUUACAUAAACUAACAGGUAUGAAAUGAACACAGGGCUCUUAGACCCUUGAGUGAGCUCUGGAGUUUAGUGUAAUUUUUUUUUUUUAGUUGUUUUAUUUUUCCUACCAAAAGCUAGUAUGUUCAUAUAGAAACAUAGGAAAGUGGUCAAGGGUGACAAAGCCUGACAAUUGACUUUGCCUUUAAAACAGGAUAAUGUAUAUCUUUUCAAAUAGUUCUCUUGUCCUUGGAAUCCCAAAAUAGAAUAUCUUUCCUUAAUCACUUGUGACUGUCCCUUCAAAAAUUGACUGGGACUCUUACUAAAGUUGCAUCAUUUUAAUGAGGUAUUUCUGGUGUUUCUUGUGCUACUCACUUUUUCCAUUUUCUAGCAGGUGGGGAGAAAGCAUUUGCUGCUGCAGCCUCGGGAUGCGUAGCUCCCAGCCCUGCCCUGUUGGAGGGUCUACAGUCAAUCAGUGUCUGUGGUCAGUCAGCUUCUGUGUGGUUCCUUGGGCAGCACAUCUGUGUGUCCUAUCCCGGGAGUCCACACAGCGCGUGCUCGUCCCAACAGGUGCCUCCUCAAUGCCCAGAGGGUGAAUGAAAUUUGAAACGAUAUGUAAACUGAGCAAAGAUGGGAUCAUGGAGUUCAAGAAGCUGUAAAUGCUCUGCUUUCUGUUCCUCAGGGAUUUGGCUGGCAAGGAGACACCUAAUGAGCAGAAAUGGACUUCACAGAGCUUACAGCAAGCUGGAAGAGAGAGACAUCAAUCAACUAAUCAUACAAAGAAACCCAUAUAUGAACACUGGAUUUAUCUGCUUGUCAAAGAAAUACACUGCUCCUUCAGAAGAUAACUGUGAGUUUAGGCAAGAUGUCCUGGACCUCGGGUCAGAACUACACUAAAGUAUGGAUAUGCAGAUCAAGUGUCAUUUUCUUAGAGAUGCCUUGCUUGGUCCUCCCUCAUUAAAGGAUGAAAUAAUAAUUCUGUUGAUUGAAUGCACACUGCGUCUGAGGCCUCAUGUUCACAAGACAACAAGAUAUCUUUCACCUUGAUUUUUCACAACUCUACCUGCCAUGCAGGCCUGACUUACUUCAGGUAAUCUCCAGUUGUCCUAAGCAGGAAUCACCCCCAUGGACUGAGAAAACCAACUGACCAAAACUUCCAUGAUUGGUUCUCUCUCUGAAGCUGGUCCCAAAAACCUGCCAUCUGACUCUGACCCUACCAAUGGGUGACCAGACACAAGUUACUUACCUUCCUUGAGAUACAAUUGUCUUUGUGCAUGAAAUAAAACUAUCUCCGUGAGGCGAUGAAGGGGCACCUCUCUGUAAAGUGUCGAAUGCCAUGUAUGUGUUCCUGGUGGUUACUGUUAUUUCCAUAGGACACAUCCACAUCCCCCCAGUGUAUGUUCCAACCUGCUGACCUCUGUACUCAUCCUUGCUGUCUCCUUUCCCAGGGCCUGGAUCCCUAUUCUGGCAUUUUACUCCUGCAGGAAUCCCUGUUCUCCACCAGGUCAUUCCCAUCAACAUCAAACACAUGCUAUAAUAACUCCCAGCUUAGAGAAAAGUUAUUCUCUCUUGACCCUGUGUUUCUCUCCUGCUAAAGCCUCAUUUCUCUGUUCCUCUCUGCAGUAAAAGGUUUAAAAAAAAAAAGGUGUCUGUACUCACUCUCUCCAUUUCUUCCAUUUCCCCUUGAGAUGGCCCCAAAUAGUCUUUUAUCCUCACUACUCUACAAAACCAGCCUGAUUAAGGUCACCGGCAACCUUACUGUGCAAAUCCACUGGUUCAGUCCUGUCCUUCUCUCCUCUCCUCCUGGCAGUGCGUGACACCAGUCACCCCUCGCUUCUCACAUCCUCCUGCUCCUGGGACA